RNAcentral lists this ribosomal RNA (248 nucleotides) under uncultured bacterium. RNAcentral's name for it is "partial 16S ribosomal RNA". It matches the Rfam family "Bacterial small subunit ribosomal RNA", at positions 529 to 776 of the family's 1533-position model. The record is from RNAcentral.
AGGGGGCUAGCGUUGCUCGGAAUCACUGGGCGUAAAGCGCACGUAGGCGGAUUGUUAAGUCAGUGGUGAAAUCCUGGAGCUCAACUCCAGAACUGCCUUUGAUACUGGCGAUCUUGAGUCCGGGAGAGGUGAGUGGAACUGCGAGUGUAGAGGUGAAAUUCGUAGAUAUUCGCAAGAACACCAGUGGCGAAGGCGGCUCACUGGCCCGGUACUGACGCUGAGGUGCGAAAGCGUGGGGAGCAAACAGG